Molecule: transfer RNA, 72 nt
Filed under: Toxocara canis (dog roundworm)
Lineage: Eukaryota; Metazoa; Nematoda; Chromadorea; Rhabditida; Toxocaridae
Rfam family: tRNA
About the family: Transfer RNA (tRNA) molecules are approximately 80 nucleotides in length.
Source: Rfam by way of RNAcentral
GUGGCAGUAGUUCAGUGGUAGAGCUCCCGCUCCGUUAGCGGGGAUACCUGGGUUCGAUUCCCGGCUACUUUC